AUUGAACGCUGGCGGCAGGCCUAACACAUGCAAGUCGAACGGUAGCACAGAGAGCUUGCUCUCGGGUGACGAGUGGCGGACGGGUGAGUAAUGUCUGGGAAACUGCCCGAUGGAGGGGGAUAACUACUGGAAACGGUAGCUAAUACCGCAUAACGUCGCAAGACCAAAGUGGGGGACCUUCGGGCCUCACACCAUCGGAUGUGCCCAGAUGGGAUUAGCUAGUAGGUGGGGUAAUGGCUCACCUAGGCGACGCUCCCUAGCUGGUCUGAGAGGAUGACCAGCCACACUUGAACUGAGACACGGUCCAGAAUCCUACGGGAGGCAGCAGUGGGGAAUAUUGCACAAUGGGCGCAAGCCUGAUGCAGCCAUGCCGCGUGUAUGAAGAAGGCCUUCGGGUUGUAAAGUACUUUCAGCGGGGAGGAAGGCGGUGGAGUUAAUAACUUCACCGAUUGACGUUACCCGCAGAAGAGGCACCGGCUAACUCCGUGCCAGCCGCCGCCGUAA
RNAcentral lists this ribosomal RNA (504 nucleotides) under uncultured bacterium. Its description in RNAcentral is "partial 16S ribosomal RNA". It matches the Rfam family "Bacterial small subunit ribosomal RNA", at positions 30 to 523 of the family's 1533-position model. The record is from RNAcentral.